RNAcentral lists this unclassified non-coding RNA (381 nucleotides) under uncultured Paenibacillaceae bacterium. Its description in RNAcentral is "contains 16S-23S intergenic spacer region". Lineage: Bacteria; Bacillati; Bacillota; Bacilli; Caryophanales; Paenibacillaceae. The record is from RNAcentral.
UCCGGUUUGUCACCGGCAGUCACCCUAGAGUGCCCAGCUUGACCUGCUGGCAACUAAGAUCAAGGGUUGCGCUCGUUGCGGGACUUAACCCAACAUCUCACGACACGAGCUGACGACAACCAUGCACCACCUGUCUCCCCUGUCCCCGAAAGGCCUGCACCAUCUCUGGCACAUUCAGGGGGAUGUCAAGACCUGGUAAGGUUCUUCGCGUUGCUUCGAAUUAAACCACAUACUCCACUGCUUGUGCGGGUCCCCGUCAAUUCCUUUGAGUUUCAGUCUUGCGACCGUACUCCCCAGGCGGAAUGCUUAAUGUGUUAACUUCGGCACCCAGGGUAUUGAAACCCCUGACACCUAGCAUUCAUCGUUUACAGCGUGGACUAC